Eriocheir sinensis (Chinese mitten crab) is the source of this 1874-nucleotide long non-coding RNA. RefSeq lists it as uncharacterized. The transcript has 3 exons. The record is from RefSeq and is a predicted model, not a curated record. Lineage: Eukaryota; Metazoa; Arthropoda; Malacostraca; Decapoda; Varunidae.
ACGGCCACAUUUUUUAUUUUUUUUAUCUCCGACUCAACAUUUUAUUCACCAAAGCAACACAAAACUCAGCGAGACGGAAUCUAACUUACACACAUGGCAACAAAGGAGUAUUAGUGAUCAGAUAAAGCUUAUACACCAUAUUAGCGGAACACCAAGAAGCCUAUAUAUAAAAAAAAAUCUACCAACAUAACAAGUUUCAAACGUGUCCUUAUCUACCUUGCAAGUACCGGGUGAGUGAAUGCAGGUGUGUGUGUGUGUGUGUGUGUGUGUGUGUGUGUGUGCAGGUGUGUACAGGUGUAGGUGGUGGGUGGAGAGGUGGAGGAGAUAGAGGAAGGGGGUGUAGUGUAGGGGGUGUAAGGGAUGACUGGGUGGAGAGGUAAAGAGGUGGAGGAGAUAGAGGAAGGGUGUGUAUAGGUGUAGGUGGUGGGGGUGGAGAGGUGGAUGAGUGGGUGUAAGUAGGUGGUGGGACGGAGGAGGAGGAGGUAGAGAAAGGAAGACCAAGUAGGAAGAUCAGGUAAGAAUCUUCACAGGUAAGGUAUAUUCACCAAUUCGUACGCACUCCUCCAAUUAGUACUCAUAUAAGUGAAAAAAAGUAUUGAGCAUGGGUAUGAAAAUUAAGUAGCAGAAAUUGAGCUUGGUUAUGAAAAUUGCGUAAUGUGAAAAUGAAGGUUACUAAUUGAUCUUCAUUUUGCAGGUAAGGUAUAUUCACCAAUUCGUACGCACUCCUCCAAUUCGUACUCAUAUAAGUGAAAAAAAAGUAUUGAGCAUGGGUAUGUAAAUUAAGUAGCAGAAAUUGAGCUUGGUUAUGAAAAUUGCGUAAUGUGAAAAUGAAGGUUACUAAUUGAUCUUCAUUUUGACAGUAUUUGGUUUCCAUUGUUUUAUUAUCACCACGUGCUGUUGAGCUGAAGUGUAUAAAUUAAGUAAGGUCAUAAUAAAGGUUAGUAAUCGAUCUUCAUUUUGACCACGGGAAGGAAAAUAAAGUAAGGUAAAUAUAAAGGUUAGUAAUUGACCUUCAUUUUGACCAUAUUUGAUUUUCAGUCUUUUAGUCCAUCAUUAUAAUUGAGCUUGGGUGUAAAAGUUAAGUAAGGUCAACAUAAAGGUAAGUAAUUGAUCUCCAUUUUGACCAUGAUAAGGAAAAUCAAGUGGGUAAGGUCGAUCUUCAUUCUGACUGUAUUUAUUUUUGUCUUUUACUCUAUCCCUAUCAUUGAGAUUGGUAGUGAAAGCCAAGGUAAGGUAAGGUCAAAAUAAAGGUUAGUAACUGAUCUUCAUUUUGACCAUAAGGAAAUUCAAAUGGGUAAGGUCGAUCCUCAUUUUGACCAUAUUCAAUUUUCAGUCUUUUACUUUAUCCCUAUUACUGAGCGUGGGUGUAAGAGUCGAGGUAAGGUAAGGUCAAAAUAAAGGUUAGUAAUUGAUCUCCAUUUUGACCAUGAUAAGGAAAAUCAAGUGGGUAAGGUCGAUCCUCAUUUUGACCAUAUUUAAUUUUCAGUUUUUUACUUUAUCCCUAUCAUUGAGAUUGGUUGUGAAAGCCAAGGUAAGGUAAGGUCAAAAUAAAGGUUAGUAAUUGAUCUUCAUUCUGACCAUAAGGAAAAUCAAGUGGGUAAGGUCGAUCCUCAUUUUGACCAUAUUUAAUUUUCAGUCUUUUACUUUAUCCCUAUUACUGAGCGUGGGUGUAAGAGUCGAGGUAAGGUAAGGUCAAAAUAAAGGUUAGUAAUUGAUCUCCAUUUUGACCAUGAUAAGGAAAAUCAAAUGGGUAAGGUCGAUUCUCAUUUUGACCAUAUUUAAUUUUCAGUUUUUUACUUUAUCCCUAUCAUUGAGAUUGGUUGUGAAAGCCAAGGUAAGGUAAGGUCAAAAUAAAGGUUAGUAAUUGAUCUUCA